RNAcentral lists this ribosomal RNA (918 nucleotides) under uncultured Bacteroidota bacterium. RNAcentral describes it as "bacterial SSU rRNA". It matches the Rfam family "Bacterial small subunit ribosomal RNA", at positions 1 to 915 of the family's 1533-position model. Lineage: Bacteria; Pseudomonadati; Bacteroidota. The record is from RNAcentral.
GGAUCCAGACUUUGAUUCUGGCUCAGGAUGAACGCUAGCUACAGGCUUAACACAUGCAAGUCGAGGGGCAGCAUGACGAUAGCUUGCUAUUGUUGAUGGCGACCGGCGCACGGGUGAGUAACGCGUAUCCAACCUGCCCUUGUCCAUCGGAUAACCCGUCGAAAGGCGGCCUAACACGAUAUGCAGUUCUCAGCAGGCAUCUAACGAGAACGAAAUGUGAAGGAGAAGGAUGGGGAUGCGUCUGAUUAGCUUGUUGGCGGGGUAACGGCCCACCAAGGCGACGAUCAGUAGGGGUUCUGAGAGGAAGGUCCCCCACAUUGGAACUGAGACACGGUCCAAACUCCUACGGGAGGCAGCAGUGAGGAAUAUUGGUUAAUGGGCGAGAGCCUGAACCAGCCAAGUAGCGUGCAGGAUGACGGCCCUAUGGGUUGUAAACUGCUUUUAUGCGGGGAUAAAGUGAGUCACGUGUGGCUUAUUGCAGGUACCGCAUGAAUAAGGACCGGCUAAUUCCGUGCCAGCAGCCGCGGUAAUACGGAAGGUCCGGGCGCUAUCCGGAUUUAUUGGGUUUAAAGGGAGCGUAGGCCGUCUGAUAAGCGUGUUGUGAAAUGUCGGGGCUCAACCUGGGCAUUGCAGCGCGAACUGUGAGACUUGAGUGCGCGGGAAGUAGGCGGAAUUCGUCGUGUAGCGGUGAAAUGCUUAGAUAUGACGAAGAACUCCGAUUGCGAAGGCAGCCUGCUGUAGCGCAACUGACGCUGAAGCUCGAAAGCGUGGGUAUCGAACAGGAUUAGAUACCCUGGUAGUCCACGCGGUAAACGAUGGAUGCUCGCUGUUUGCGUCUGACGUAAGCGGCCAAGCGAAAGCGUUAAGCAUCCCACCUGGGGAGUACGCCGGCAACGGUGCAACUCAAAGGAAUUGACG